UACAGGGGGGCAAGCGUUGUUCGGAAUUACUGGGCGUAAAGGGCUCGUAGGCGGCCAACUAAGUCCGACGUGAAAUCCCCAGGCUUAACCUGGGAACUGCGUCGGAUACUGGAUGGCUUGAAUUCGGGAGAGGGAUGCAGAAUUCCAGGUGUAGCGGUGAAAUGCGUAGAUAUCUGGAGGAAUACCGGUGGCGAAGGCGGCAUCCUGGACCGACAUUGACGCUGAUGAGCGAAAGCUAGGGGAGCAAACGGG
Molecule: ribosomal RNA, 252 nt
Filed under: uncultured bacterium
Lineage: Bacteria
Description: partial 16S ribosomal RNA
Rfam family: Bacterial small subunit ribosomal RNA
Source: RNAcentral